GAUGAACGCUGGCGGCGUGCCUAAUACAUGCCAGUCGAGCGAACGGACGAGAAGCUUGCUUUUCUGAUGUUAGCGGCGGACGGGUGAGUAACACGUGGAUAACCUACCUAUAAGACUGGGAUAACUUCGGGAAACCGGAGCUAAUACCGGAUAAUAUUUUGAACCGCAUGGUUCAAAAGUGAAAGACGGUCUUGCUGUCACUUAUAGAUGGAUCCGCGCUGCAUUAGCUAGUUGGUAAGGUAACGUCUUACCAAGGCAACGAUGCAUAGCCGACCUGAGAGGGUGAUCGGCCACACUGGAACUGAGACACGGUCCAGACUCCUACGGGAGGCAGCAGUAGGGAAUCUUCCGCAAUGGGCGAAAGCCUGACGGAGCAACGCCGCGUGAGUGAUGAAGGUCUUCGGAUCGUAAAACUCUGUUAUUAGGGAAGAACAUAUGUGUAAGUAACUGUGCACAUCUUGACGGUACCUAAUCAGAAAGCCACGGCUAACUACGUG
RNAcentral lists this ribosomal RNA (497 nucleotides) under uncultured bacterium. RNAcentral describes it as "partial 16S ribosomal RNA". It matches the Rfam family "Bacterial small subunit ribosomal RNA", at positions 28 to 507 of the family's 1533-position model. The record is from RNAcentral.